This 21-nucleotide small nuclear RNA is filed under the name Arabidopsis thaliana (thale cress). Its description in RNAcentral is "snRNA_18545". Lineage: Eukaryota; Viridiplantae; Streptophyta; Magnoliopsida; Brassicales; Brassicaceae. The record is from RNAcentral.
GUCGGUAGUUUGGCGAAGUCC